GAUGAACGCUGGCGGCGUGCCUAAUACAUGCAAGUCGAGCGAACAGAUAAGGAGCUUACUCCUUUGACGUUAGCGGCGGACGGGUGAGUAACACGUGGGUAACCUACCUAUAAGACUGGAAUAACUCCGGGAAACCGGGGCUAAUGCCGGAUAACAUUUAGAACCGCAUGGUUCUAAAGUGAAAGAUGGUUUUGCUAUCACUUAUAGAUGGACCCGCGCCGUAUUAGCUAGUUGGUAAGGUAACGGCUUACCAAGGCAACGAUACGUAGCCGACCUGAGAGGGUGAUCGGCCACACUGGAACUGAGACACGGUCCAGACUCCUACGGGAGGCAGCAGUAGGGAAUCUUCCGCAAUGGGCGAAAGCCUGACGGAGCAACGCCGCGUGAGUGAUGAAGGUCUUCGGAUCGUAAAACUCUGUUAUUAGGGAAGAACAAAUGUGUAAGUAACUGUGCACGUCUUGACGGUACCUAAUCAGAAAGCCACGGCUAACUACGUG
Molecule: ribosomal RNA, 497 nt
Filed under: uncultured bacterium
Lineage: Bacteria
Description: partial 16S ribosomal RNA
Rfam family: Bacterial small subunit ribosomal RNA
Source: RNAcentral